GAUGAACGCUGGCGGCGUGCCUAAUACAUGCAAGUCGAGCGAACGGACGAGAAGCUUGCUUCUCUGAUGUUAGCGGCGGACGGGUGAGUAACACGUGGAUAACCUACCUAUAAGACUGGGAUAACUUCGGGAAACCGGAGCUAAUACCGGAUAAUAUUUUGAACCGCAUGGUUCAAAAGUGAAAGACGGUCUUGCUGUCGCUUAUAGAUGGAUCCGCGCUGCAUUAGCUAGUUGGUAAGGUAACGGCUUACCAAGGCAACGAUGCAUAGCCGACCUGAGAGGGUGAUCGGCCACACUGGAACUGAGACACGGUCCAGACUCCUACGGGAGGCAGCAGUAGGGAAUCUUCCGCAAUGGGCGAAAGCCUGACGGAGCAACGCCGCGUGAGUGAUGAAGGUCUUCGGAUCGUAAAACUCUGUUAUUAGGGAAGAACAUAUGUGUAAGUAACUGUGCACAUCUUGACGGUACCGAAUCAGAAAGCCACGGCUAACUACGUG
Molecule: ribosomal RNA, 497 nt
Filed under: uncultured bacterium
Lineage: Bacteria
Description: partial 16S ribosomal RNA
Rfam family: Bacterial small subunit ribosomal RNA
Source: RNAcentral